UGCAUGCCAUUCAAGGAGCUUGGAUUGUUGGAGCGUUUCUAGGUGUUUUCUAUCUUUAUGUCAAUGUUUAGAUUCAUUUAUCUUUGUUUAUUUGCGAACAUGAGGAACUAAUUUCUUUAUAGUUAGAGGGGAAUUCAAAGCCAUGUUCAUAUGUUUUAUAUGAUUUGAUUUCCUCCAGUUAUGAUUUCAUAAAUCGUGAAUGUGGUUUACUUAUCUAUUUGAUUGAUAACAUGUUUAUGUAUGUUGAAUUGAAGGGUCGACACUUAGUUCGCAUGCAUGAAUUUGAUGCUAGAGUAUAAGGGAAUUUCACCUAAUCGUUAUUAACUUAUAUUCGUAAGUAGUAAAAGUCGCUAGUCACGAUUGUGUUAAGUAAAUCCUUGGCAAGAGUAACAUGCGUAUUCCAUAGUUAUGAAUGCCUCGUCAAUGCUUAUGAUUUCCAUUGAACUUAAUGAUCUUUGAUAUGUGUCUCUAUCAUGCGUAUUCCAUAGUUAGGGUCCUUGAUAAGAAUAAUUUGGUUGUAAUGCGUAUUCCAUUCAAUUCAAUGAAUCUAGGGAAAUCUGAGAAUUAAUUGGUGCAAUCUAGUUAAUUUGGGGCAUUGUCAUUCAUGGUUUGUUGAAAGAGUAACUGGAAAUCGAGUCGUAUGCAUAUGUUUCAUGUGUGGAGAAGGAACCCUCUAACUAGCCUUUCACCAUUCUGUUUUCAUCCAAUUUCGUGAGUCUUUAAGUUUGUUUACAAAGUUUAUGUUUUAAAAGUUCAAAUUUUCGUCAAAACCAAACCCCUUGCUUUUAAGUCUUGUUUUUAGAGUCAAAACCUGUUUUCUUUUGAAGUCUUUUGAGUCUUUUAAGUUCUAUUUUCGUCCAAAAUCACUUAUUAGGUCUAGAAUUGAGUCUUUUUUUAUUGUUAUUUGCUGUUUUGAGUGUUUUGAGUUAGUUUUGAGUCUAUAGAGUCUAGUUUAGUGUUUUUGAGUCUUAUUUGUGUUGAUUAGCAUCCCUAGUUAAUCCCCGGUCUAGAACGAUCCCUACUUGCAUCAUUACUACAAUUGUCAUCAAUAGGGUUUAAUUUGUGUGUCAAGUUAAUUUACACAUCAUAUGGGAGGUGGUCUCUCUGGCCAAGGGGUGUAAACAUGUAUAUAUAGGCCCCAAAAACCCUAGAGAAUCAGGUUAGGCAAUGGAGGAAGUGCACAGCAAGGAGGGUGAAUUUGUGGUGUGCAAUGGUCCAAGGAUGAAAAUGAAGUAAUGAUGCAAAGUAUGGAGGGUAAAAUGGAGUGGUGUUGCAGCUAGGGAGCAUGAAUGAUUGUGCACAUUGCAUAGAAAUGAAAAGGGAGGUGAAAUGUUUCAGAAAUGAGUCAAAGGUGCAGCAACAUGUGUUGCACACGGCAUGGGAUUCCAAAGGUGGCUGAUGGAGCAUCAAUUGGUGCAUGUAAUGGUUGUGAAAGUUGUAUGAAAUUUGAUGGGUGAAGGGAACAAGAGGUAUGCAGCAAUUGAGUGUAAUAAUUAAAUGUAUUGAGGCAUGAAAUCAGAAAUAAUGUAGGGGACAAGGGUGAUUAAGCAUGGCAUGGGAAUCCAAAAGGAAUACAAUGGUGAUUGCACGGCAAGGAAGGUGCAUUGUGGAGUGACACCCUUUUGUGGCUGAGUUCUUUAUCCUUUGUACAAUAAUUCUUCACAUUCUUAGCCUCUUUAGUCUUCAAUUUCGUCCAUCCACCUUGCUCUAUGCAUUUGCUAUCCAUUCCAAACCCGAAACUGCUCCAAAGACCUUCAAAAUGCAUCUUCUUGCAUACUUUGUCCUUAGAAUCUGAAAACACACAAAAAUGACUUUUGAUAGGAGCAUAUUUAUGCGCCUUAGUUAGCUAGUUCUUAUGCAUUUAUGUUGUGUUUUCUUAGUUAAGUUAGUCUUUUAAGCUAUUUUCAUGUGUUUUCAGGUUUUAAGGACAAAGCAAAAAGAUGCAAUUUGGAGCAUUUUGGAGCAAAAUUGAGCUAGAAUGGAGCUCAUGCAUGUGGAGCACAAAGAAUGGACGAAUUUGAAGGAUUGAAGAAGCUAGGAAUGUGUUUCAAAGUUGAAGAAUUGAAGAUGCAAAGUUUCCUAAUUGAAGUAGGAAAGUGCUUAAUUGAAGAUGAAAUCCUAGUCAACAAUGGAUUCCUAGUUGAAGAUGGAUUCCUAGUUGAAGAAGGAUUCCUAGUUGAAGUUGGAUUUCUAGAAGAAUGAAAGUUUCCUACUUGAAGAUGGAAGUUAAAGCCAAAGAAUCAGCUCAAAAGAAGAAACCUUAUCCAAAACAUUAUCCAUGACCUUAUCCUAUCUUAUCCUAAUCCUAAUCUACCUAUAUUUCAGCUACAAAAGGGAUUUUUUUUCCUAUUUGGAGACUUAAAACCUGAUUUCUAGAAGCCUUAUCCCUUCCUACAAAGGUGCCACACCUUAUCCCUUGUUUUUCUAGAAAUCAGCCACAAAACAACCUUUCUAGAAGGCCUUAUCCCUUGUCCUACAAAAGUGACGCCCCAAACCUUUCUAGAACUUCUAGAAACCUGAUUAUUCCUUUCCCUCUUGGUUUCUAAAAGCCUUAGCCUUUUCCUUCAAGGAUUGUGUGUUAUUAUCCUAUACAAAUUAGGCCUUUAAAUCAUUUUCCUUUGCUACAUAGGGGCUGCGAAUUUCAGCCUAUAAAUACCAUCCUUUGCUGCACCAUUUAGUCACCACCCUUUACCAUAAAUCACCUACAUCCAUCCACCACACCAUCCACCACAAUCCUCUUGUGCCGCAGCUAAGGAAGGAGAAGAAGGAGCCAUCUGGAGUGUUUCUAGGUGUAUUCUAUCUUUGUUUUUAAUGUUUAAUUUAAGUUAUCUUUGUUUAUUUGCGAACAUGAGGAACUAAUUUCUUUAUAGUUGGAGGUGAAUUCAAAGCCAUGAUUAUAUGUUUUAUAUGAAUUGAUUACAUCCAAUUAUUGUUUCUUGAGUCGUGAAUGUGGUUUACUUAUCUAUUUGAUUGAUAACAUGUUUAUGUAUGUUGAUUGAGGGU
This 3003-nucleotide long non-coding RNA is filed under the name Malus domestica (apple). RNAcentral describes it as "long non-coding RNA (MDOM_LNC021069)". The record is from RNAcentral. Lineage: Eukaryota; Viridiplantae; Streptophyta; Magnoliopsida; Rosales; Rosaceae.